AAAUAACAGCAAAGAGGGGGUUUUGAAAGCUCAAAAAUAUCAGCCACUCUUCACCCUUGCAAGUAAGUGAUUUUGAUGGCCUUUCUUGAUAAUUUUUGUACUUUUGAAACCUUUGUAGCAUAAUCUAGCUAAUGAGGGGACUUUUUUGCAAAAUGGUUGAAAUUAUAGGGUUUUUUCAUGAGAGUAUUCAUGUGUUUUUCUGAAUUUUUAUGAAAUAAAACGAGUCUUGGUUGUGUAAUAAACAACUUUUGUGAAAGAAGUUUGCAUGAAAACACCUAAAAAGGGUUAUUUUGUAAAGUUAUAAAAUAAGUUGUAAAUGUGUGAAAUAAUUGAAAAUGUGAGUUGCUAUAGUUAUAAAAAGUAUUCGUCUAGGCUUGGUAAAGGAGGAAAUUUGAGAAAAAUUGAUUUAAGAGCCUAAGGGUAAAAUCAUAAUUUUUGUAAAGUCUAUGGGCAAAACGAUCAUUUUUCCAAAUUGUGAAUUAUAGAAUGUUUUAAUUAAUGUAAUGAUUAAAUGAGUGAAUUUCAUCAUGUUAGAUCAAGAAAAUUGAUUUUGGGGCUUAAAUUAGAAUGUACGAGGUUAUGGACUAAAAUAGAGUAAUUAGCUGAAAUUGCAUUCAAGGCAAGUCUGUGUGACUAAAUAAACAUGUUAUCCAUGUUAUUGUUAAUAUACUUGAAAUCUAUUUUGCUAUGAUUGUAUUUAAUUAUAUGUUGAUGGAAUAUGACAUUCCAUUGAAACAAGUAAGUUGUACGUAAAUAAUGCAAAAUUUAAUGUUAUCAUGUAUUAUACGAUUAGUAUAGUAUGAAUUGUUGAUUUACGUUGUGAAUGAGAAUUUAUAUAAUAAAGACUUCCGGUUGAACAUAAAGAAUAUAUUUGGAUAUUCAUGCCAUGACAUUGGGUGAUAUGUGUGCUAGUGUAAGACAUAUCUGAGACAUGCAUCGGCCACAUUACGGGAGCCAGUGUAAGACAUGUCUGGGACAUGCAUCGGCCUCGAGAUAUGCAAGCCAGUGUAAGACAUGUCUGGGACAUGCAUCGACAUUGAGACGAGAGCUAGUGUAAGACAUGUCUGGGACAUGCAUUUGGGACAUGGCAUCAGCUUGUUGUGUGUCAGUGUAAGACUUGUCUGGGGCAUGGCAUUGACACCUAUAAAUGAGAGCCAGUGUAAGACCUGUCUUGGACAUGGCAUCGGCCUCGAUAUAUGAAAGUCAGUGUAAGACCUGUCUGGGACAUGGCAUCGACUUUGAUGUGCUAUCCAGUGUAAGACCAUGUCUGGGACAUGGCGUCGGCAUCUUAUCCCAUGUUUGGGGCUAUUGAAUAUCCUGUAGUAUUCCAAAUGGUUUAACGGGAGAUUUACGGUUUAUAUUGAAAUGAGAGAACUUAUGACCAUGUGGUGAGUGGUAUAGGUACUUAUAUGAAAUUGAUGAGAUGUGAAUUCAAUUCAUGUUGUAUGAUUAGUAAGGAAUGAAUAUGAGCAUGUUGAGUAACACAGGUAUGUAUGCCAAACUCAUGAGAAAUGAUUUCGGUUUAUGAUGCAUAUUGGGUGAAGAUGUAAAUAGGUAAUUCAUGCCUAUGAGAAUGAUUUUGUGAUGACCUUGUGAUUAUAGGCAUAUACUUAUGAUAUAUAAAUAUGUAUAUUUACCAAUGCGGUGAAAAUGAAUUAAUAAUGUGUGAUAAACUUAGUAUCAUUAAUUUACACUAAAACAGCUUUGGACAGCAGCAGUAGUCUGACUUUGAAAAUCCACCAAAAAUUGUGGAAAUUGAGUUAGAGGCUGAAUAAAAUAUUAAAUUAAAUUUUAAUGAGUCUAGUUUCACAUAGGAGAAACGGUGUAAGCAUAAGAGUUUCAUAUUAUAAAAUAUUUAAAUUAUUUUAAGAUAGAGUCAGAAUGAUUUCGAAAUCCCAUAUUUUGAUUUGAAAAAUCAUUUAAAAUUGUAAAAAAAUAAUUAGGGGUUAUAAUUUAUAUGCUUAUAAUCCUUGAUGAGUCUAUUUUCAAGCGAAAUAGACAAGAACAUUAUCAUAGUCCCGUAUUAUGAGAUAAUUAAUUUUUAGUGAAGAGGGGUCAAAACUAUCACACAGCAAGAAAAUGGUGACUUUAAAGAAUAAACUGUACUUAUUGGCUAAACUAAAAAUUCUAAAAAUUUUAUGGUAAGAAGGUAUGUGAGUCUAGUUUCAGAAAAAAUUUACAGAUCUUAAUUUAGCGUUCCGUACCUCCUGAUAUAAAUAAUUUAGUGACUGUGACUUGAGAAAAUAGCUUGACCUAAACAUAGGUAAAUAGGCAAUUAUGAGAGUAUUACCUUGAGAUCAUGUUGUAAGAAUUGGUGGAAGCAUAUUGAUAAAUUGCAUAUUAUUUUUAUAUGGACUUACUAAGCAUGUAGCUUACUCCCUCUUUUCCAUUUCUUUUAGCUUUGUCAGGUUAGCUUGGGGUUGGAGAUCGCCGGAGGCAGCAUCACACUAUCAAGUCACUACCUUUGGGAUAAUGAAGCACAUGUUAGAAAUUUUCAAGUGAGUGGCAUGUAACACCCCGAUUUUUGGGGCCUAGAGGAGUUGGGCUUUGAGUUUGGGAUUCGGAUAGAAGGAAACCUAAAUAAUUAGGAAGUUUUAAAUAUUACCGUUUAAGAAAAAAAUUUUGAAUUACUACUAGAAAAUUUUUACUAUAUUUAUUAUUAUAGAUAUUUUAAAUUUUUACGAAAUUUUAAUUAGUAUUAUGAGAUAAAAUUAUUAUUAGAAAAAUAUUACUGCAUGUAUGUUUGAAAAAUUUUUAUGAAAAUUAUUAUUAUUUACUGUAUUAUUGAUAUUUGAAAUUUUUAUUAUUAGAUAUAUUUAUAAAAUUAUUAUUAUUAGAUAAGGAAAUAUAUAUAUAUAUUUAUAAAAGUAUUAUUGUUUUGGUGUUUAAGACUCUAGAAAAAUUUUAAUUUUAUGCUACCUUAGGGAAUCUGGGCAGUAGGCCUUAUUAAUAAUUUGGGCUGAGUUUUAGCAUAAAGGAGCACCUGUCCUAGUGGCUAAGCAUGCUAGGUAGUAGGAAGGAGAGUUGGGGUUUGACUCCCAACAUGUGCAAAAGAGUUUUAUUUUUCUUUAUAUCAGGGAACGACGUAGAGAAGUGUUAUAUAAAGUUAAAGUUAAAAGGUAACACAAAAGGGAAGCUCGGCCCAGUGGCAGAGGCGCUGGGAGUGUGGUAUAGUGCCUAGGUUCGAGGGUUGGCACACGCAAAGGCUUGGUUUUUAUUUUAAGAAGCCAGAUCGCACUAAAGUAAGGUUUAAGAAUAAUUGCGACCGAGCUAUGUCACAAGAAGCGCCUGUGGCUCAGUGGCAGCAGCGUGGUGGGCAUAUGGAGAGGGCGCAGUUCGAGUCCAUACGCGGGCGAAUUCUGUUUAAUUUUUAAAGUGGGCCAGAACUGAAGCAGGUAAGGUUUAUAAUUAAUUGUGACCAUAUAAUAGUAAGGAAGGAAGUAUGGUGCAGUGGCCAAUAGCACGGGCUUGGGUACAAGGCAAACGGAGGUCUGGGGUUCGCGCAUGCAAGGUUUGGAUUUUUGCUACUUGGCAGCAUGCUGAAGCAGUGCAAGCAGGUGGAAAAGGCUGCUGAUCGGUUGGGAGUUUGAAUGAAAUUCAAACUUCGAAUUUGGCCUAAAAUCAAGGAGCAAAUUAGGGAAUUGGAAUUUAAAAAGAAUUACUAUGCCGAAAGGCACUCUUUCGGCCAUAGCUAUAUUAAAUGUCGUAUAUUUUGGAUUUAUUUUUUUUCCUUCUUCUAUUUUCUAUUCUUUUCUUUCCUUCUCUCAUCUCUCCGCCUCAUCUCUUUUCUUUCUCCUCUUGCCGAUUCUCAUCUUAUCUUUUUGCCGAACCUAAAUCCUUCAUAUUCUUCUUCUUCUUUUCUCUCAUAAAUCCUCAACAAAACUGGUUAGCCGAAUUUCCAUUGAAGCCAAACCUCGUAUCUUUUCUUCCAAAACCGAAAUCUUACUACUUUGAGGUACUGCAAAGGCCGAACCCUUGGUUGAGUAUUUUCCCUUCUUGUGCGGUGGUUGGAUCUACAAUCGGUUGGGAGUAGUGUCAUAACGAUAUAGGUAAACGCUUGAAUCUUUCUUUCGUUAUUCAUGAAUUACGGUAAAAGCCGAAAAACCCCUAUAUGCAAAGGGUGCCUGUUGAUUGUACUCAAAGGGUUUAGUAGUGAUAUCUGAUUUGUUUUCCUAUAAUGUGGAUUAAAGGCUACUAAUCGAGGGCUUGGAUAUUUGGAACGACCAGAAUUAGAUCUAGUCCAUUUUUUCGGCAAAGGUAAGAACACUAGUGCCUAAAGUGUUAAUGGUCGAUUUUUAGUAAGGAGUUUUGCAGAUAAGUUGCUAUGGAUUCAUAGUUAACGUAUUAGUAAUUGAUUGUAGGCAGUUCAUGUGUGGAACUCGUCAGCGUUUCGUCGCAAACAGGUGUGUAAACGACAGCCACUCAUAGACUAGAUCGGCAAAAGGCGAAAAGCCGAAAUGCUGGAAAGCCAGCAUUUUGUGAACUUGCGAGCGUGCGAGCACUCAUGAGAUGGUUGUUUGUUAGUUUUGGUAAUCUAAAGCGGUAUGAUUACAGAGUGCGCAAUUUCGUGCACUUCGGUAUAUUUGGGCUUAAUGGGUCGAAAAUUGGUUAAUGGGCCAACGAGCCCAAUUCAGUAAAGACGCUCGGUAAAUGUUUCUGUUGGUGUGUUAACGGUUGUAGGAUGUAUGUAAACCCUAAAAUAGUGAAUUUUACUAAAAUACCCCUGGGUAUGAAAAUUACCGUUUUACCCCUAGGUGCAAAAUGAUCGUUAUACCCCUAGGGUUAAUUUUGACUGAAAUGCAUAAUAUUCAGAUUUUGUUUGUUAUAUGCCAUGACAUGUAUAUCUGUUGCAUAAGGUUGGGUUUUGUUAUGGAGGAAGAACCCGUUCUGGUGGCUGUACCAUAUAUUCUGAUAUAAGCAGAUUUGCUGCGGAUUAUAGUUAGUGCCGCAACUGGUGCUAACACUGUAAGUGUAGGGAUGGCGUGGGUGAUUUAUUCCCCACAGAAAGUGUAGGGAUGGACGGAGGCAAGUGCAGGGUUGGAUGGGGUUAUCAUGCAUUAAUCAUAUGAGACUGUUUUGUUAUGGGCCAACUGUAUUGAAGUGGGCCCAAUUAUGUUAAUAUGGGCAAGGCCCAAUAUAUCUCGACUUGUGAUAGGGCUACGGCCCAGAUUGAUACUGAUACGGGCUAGGCCCAAUAUACUCUGAUACUGUAAAGGGCUAUGGCCCAGAUUAAUAUUGAUAUGGGCUAAGGCCCAGUUAAUAUUGAUUUCUGAAUAGGGCUUAGGCCCAGUAAAGCUUGAACCGAUUUGGGCUCUGGUUGGGAUACUUUACACACUGAGUUUUCCAAACUCACCCCCUUUCUCUUCCAUCCUUGCAGGUGAGCCCUAGUUGGUGGACUUGGAGCUGGGCGGGAUUCAGAGUGGCCACGAAGAUUAAGUUUCUGUUUUCUUUAAAAUAACUUUCGCAUUUAUUAUUUUAAUUAUUUUUAUUCUAGUCUAAGUUGUAAUAAGGCUGC
RNAcentral lists this long non-coding RNA (5515 nucleotides) under Gossypium barbadense (sea-island cotton). RNAcentral describes it as "long non-coding RNA (GBAR_LNC004504)". Lineage: Eukaryota; Viridiplantae; Streptophyta; Magnoliopsida; Malvales; Malvaceae. The record is from RNAcentral.